AAGUGAUCCAUCCACCUCGGCCUCCAAAAUUGUGGGAUUACAGGUGUGAGCCACUGUGCCCGGCCAAAGUCUGUUAUUUUGUAGAGUUGAUUGGUAUUUGGUUAUCAAGGCUGUGCUAAGAUUUGCAGCGAUAGAGGAAUAAACAUUUAUGUCUGCCUUUUAAGCUUCUCUUCCAAUGAGCUCAAAUAGUGGUUAUGAUAUUAGAGAGAGGAAAUGCUGGCUGGACAAAUUUCCUCUACUUUUGCUUUAGCUAAGAUCCCCAAGAGGUGAAAUAUUUGCUGUAAUAUGGCAUUUGUGCAUUCAUUCAUAUUAUCUGUUCAUUCAUCAAAUAUGUAUUGGGCUAGAUCCUGUGCCAGGGCUGGACAUACAAUGCUAAGAAAGUAAAAUUCCCCGCCCUCAUGGAGAAUAACAUUCUUCACAGAGUUUGUGGGGAACAGACUCCCUCCAGUACCUUGUGUUUCUCAAGUCUUAAACUCAUCCUCUGCUCUGGAUUUAAAAGCAAAAGUGGCAUCUCCGGGUCUCUCAUGUAAUAUUUGGAGGAACAUUACACUUCCCAUGUAUAUUUCAUGCCUCUUUCCCAAGAUUUUACUGCUGCUUCUAAGGCAGCUAACAGUAGGUAGGAAACUUUGACCUCUCUUUCACUUUGCCCCUUUAGGACCUCCAGUUUUAGACUUCAUCAAGCAAGCCUGGUUUCAUUUCUUCUUGCUUAGCCUGAUGAACCAGUGUGCUGUACACCACUGUUGGAAACACUGGUACAAAGUUCUGGUACAGAACUCUUUCUGAAUAUUAAUCUCCUGUAUUGCUAUGCCAGAAUCAGAUUCUCCAGAGAAAGAACUUCUAUAUGGAAAGAGGCAGAUUGCUGGAAGGAGUAAAUAAUUCACAGACAACUCAUAAGCCCUGAGCUCUGGUCUGUCUCUGCCAAUUAAAUGCUGUGGAACUUUUGGGUAAGUCAUUUAAAAUAUCUGGGUUUCAGAUGAUUCAGUUACAUAUGAGUGGGUCCAACCCUCGAAUCUUCUCACUUGUCUUAGUGAUGAUGAGCUAAUGAUGUCUGGUGGAGCCUCAUCUGUUGAGAUUUUGGAGGUGUGGGUUAAAGUUGUGUCCCUCAAAGCAUUUCUUCCUCUCAGGCAUACCAGAGGUGAGAUUCACAGACCACAAAGAUAGUAUGAAUUUAAACUGCAAAUGCAGGAGAAAAUGAUUCAUAGUUAGAAUUCUCAGAGUAAUAUUGGUUUUAAAGACAAUGUAACCUAGAGGACAAGAUGAGACCAGAAAGCUCUCUUGUCACACCUCUUUGCCAGUGGGUGGAUGUUAUUCCUAAUCUACCCUUUUACUGAAGUAUAAGCCUUUGAGGGUGCUGAUACUAGAUAACUUACACUCUAGCUUCCUACUAUAGAUUCAAGGCUUUAUCUCCUGUCCUCACAUGGCUGUUAAAAUAGUAGCCCCUCAGUUAUCAAGUCCAGCAACAUUUAUCAGGGCAGUCUGAGCUGCAUUUCUGUUUCAUUUCUGGCUUUGCCCCGAGGGAUUUCUCUUACUUUCUUGCAUGUUCAGUUAUAUAUUUAAAAGCAUGUUUAUUAUAUUUUGUCCAUCAUUUCCAGGUGUUUUUUGAUAGGAGGGUUCUCAGUUAAUUUACUAUAUUGCCAUAAAUGGAAGUCAGCCCUCUAAAUUCUAUGAUUCUGUGACUAUUAACCUCUUUUCUCCCAUUGAGCUAAUUUGGAUAUUUAUCUUAUUUCAUCUUGAUUCAUUGGGUGUUCUGACUCCAUGGUGUGUUGGAAAUAUCCUCAGUUCUCUUGGAGGAAUAUUAAUAAGAAAUUGCAUAAGUGAACCAAAAAAACCUAAAAGCUAAUGGCUGUAACUUUGAUAUUUACAUGUUGGGGCUGACCCUAGCAUGGAGAUAUUCAAUUGUCCUCCCUCUAAUAUUUCAGCCUAUGCCAUGAUACAGACCAUUAAGGUCACUUGUGUUGCUUUACUCGGCAAGUAUAACUUGUGAUAUACUUGUAAUAUUGUGAAAGAUUAAACUUAAAUGGCAAUAUUAAAUGUCAGCAAAAGUUAAAUCAGUGGUGUACUAAAGAGACUCCAGUUCUAUCUAAUGCCUAACAUAGGGAAGGUCUGACUGCCCUUUGGACUGGAUAUGAUCUUGGGUUUCUUAGACAUUGGAGGCUGAGGUACCUUAUCUACUGCCUCACAGUUCUGGAGGCUCUACAGCUGCUAUUAACAUGUCAGUAGGGUUGGUUUCUUCUGAGACCUCUCUCCUGGGCUUGCAGGUGGCCAUCUUCUCCCUGUGUCCCAACGUGGUCUUCCCUCUUUGUGUGUCUGUGCCCUAAUCUUUUUUUCUUAUAAGGAUACCAUUCAGAUUGGAUUAGGAUCCACUCGUAUAACCUCAUUUUACCUUAGUUAUCUAAAGACCCUAUUUCCAAAUACAGUCAUGUUUUGAGGUACUGGGUGGUAGGACUUCAAUAUUUGAAUUUGAGGGGACAAAAUUCACCCUUCAGGAAUGUAAAAGGUGGUCUGCUAAUAGGCCUAUGGAUUAUCAAGUCAUUUUUUUUUUAAAGAUAAGUGAUUGUAUUUCUUUCUAGAGCUAUUACAGUGGUUCAUACUGGCUUAACUUUAUUAUUCUCUUCCAUCAAUUUUCUAAUUUAAUAAAAGUUAAAACCUUCUAUUAUGAAAAAUUUCAAACUCUCACAAAAAUAGAGUAAAUAGUAUAAUGAAUUCAGUGUCCUCACUGCCUAGUAUUAUGGGUUGAAUUGUGUUUCCCAAAAAUUCAUAUGAUGAAGUCCUAACCCCCAGCACCUCAGAAUGUGACUGUAUUUGGAGAUAGGGUCUUCAGAUAAUUAAGGUAAAAUGAGGUCCAUGAGUGGACCUAAUCCAACCUGACUGGUAUUCUUACAAGAAGAGGAGAUUAGGACACAGACACACACAGAGAGAAGAUCAUGUGGGGACAUAAGAAGAUGGCCAUCUACAAGCCGAGGAGAGGGGCCUCAGAAGAAACCAAUGCUGCUAACAUCUUGCUAUCAGUUACCUAGCCCCCAGAACUGUGAGACAGUACAUUCUGUUUUUUAAACCACAGAAGACACGUAUUGCAUGACUAUUUUUUUUAAGUCCAGAAUAGGCAAAUCUGUAGAGAUAGAACAUAGAUAAGUGAUUGCAUAGGGCUUAUAAGUUGGAGGUAAUUGGAAAGUGACUGCCAGUGGGUAUCAGGUUUCAUUUUGGGGUAAUGAAAAUGUUUGAAAAUUGACUGUUGUGAUGGUUGCCCAACUCUAUAAAUAUACUACAAAACAUUGCACUAUACAAAUUAAAUGUGUGCAUUGUAUGAUGUGAAUUAAAUUCCAGUAAGCCUGUUUUUAAAGACUCAAAGAAAAUUAAAGAAUGACUGAAAACUUUCCAAGUUUGAUGAAAAUUAUAAUGCUACAAAUCCAAGAAUCUCAAAAAACCUUAAGCACAAGAAAGGUUAAGAACAUGACCCCACGCCGGGUGCGGUGGCUCAUGCCUGUAAUCCCAGCACUUUGGGAGGCUGAGGCGGGUGAGCCACUUGAGGUCAGAAGUUCGAGACCAGCCUGACCAACAUGGAGAAACCCUGUCUCUACUAAAAAUACAAAAUUAGCCAGGUGUGGUGGCACAUGCCUGUAAUCCCAGCUACUUGGGAGGCUGCCGCAGGAGAAUUGCUUGAACCGGGAGGCAGAGGUUGUGGUGAGCCAAGACUGUGCUAUUGCACUCCAGCCUGGGUGACAGAGCAAGACUCCAACAAAACAAAAACAAAAACAAAAACAAAAAAAGAAACAAAAACAAAAACACAUGACCCCAAAGCGCAACAUCAUCAAAUUGCUUAAAAUUAGUGAUUUGGGUCCUCUGGAAUUAAAAGAAAAGAGAGAGAGAAACUAGUGAUAAGAAGAAAGCAGUCAGAGGGAGUUGGGGAAUGACGUUGUUUACGGAAGGAUGACAACAGAUUUCUUCUCAGAAAAAAUGUAAACCAGAAGACAGUGGUACUACAUUUUUGAAGUUUAAGUGCUGCUUGACUUAUGAUGGGGUUAUGUUCCAAAAAACUCAUCAUAAAUUGAAAAUAUCAUGUCUAAAAUACACUUUCAACUUACAUUUUUGAUUUAUGAUGUGUUUAUCUAGACAUAAUUCCAUCAUUAGUCAAGGAAUGUACUGAAUGUGUUUCACUUUUACACCAUCAUAAAAUUAAAAAGUCGUAAGUCAGGGAAAAUCUGUACUGCAAGAAAAACACUGUUAACCUAGAUAUCUUUGCCUAGUGAAAAUAUCUUUCAGAAAUGAAGAUGAGAUAAAGGCUUUUCAUACCAACAAAAGUGGAAAGAAUUCAUCAUAAGAAGACUUGAGUGAGAAGAAAUGCUAAGAAAGCUCUUCAAGUAGAAGAAAAUGAUACCAGAUGGAAAUCUGGAUCUCCACAAAGGAACAAAAAGUAUUGAGAAUGGGAACUAUCCUAUGUGGUGCUGGGGAUGCCAGAGUUGGAAUUCAAGACCCAGGGAGAAGGGCUUCAGUCAGCACUCCAGUACCUCAGCUGGGAAUCCUGGAGGCUAUACCCUAUGUAUGGGGAAAAUGAGAGGUAGAUGGAAACUAAAAAACAAACAAACAAACCAGUCCCUGAUUAGUUGUGACUUUAUCUGCCUACCAGAAAAUAGGACUAGCCCUCUCUGGAAGAUGAUAGCAUUAUCCAGAACCUCAUACACAAAAUUUACCCAGGACACUCAUGAAGAGGAGGAAGAAAAGACAACAUAAACAGACAUACAGGUCACCUACUUAUUGGAGUUAACAGAUGGAUGUUCAAAUCUGUAUUAUUCUUAUAUUCAAGAGAAUGAAUGACAAAGAGUAGAAUUCCACUGGAGAACUAGUUAACCAAGGCUAGAUGGCUUCAUUGAAAGACUUUGUCAAGCAUGAAUAAAGCCACUAUAAAUAUUCUUGCACAAGUCUCUUUGUGAAUACAUUUUUAUUCCUUUAGGUAAACGCCUAGCGGAGGAAUUGCUGGGUCAUACAUAGGGUAGGAGUAUUAUAACCUUAUAAGAAACUGUCAAAUGGUUUCCAAAAUGGUUUCACCCAUUUAUAUUCCCACAGACUUUAUUCAUAAUAACCAAUCCUGAGGGAAAAUCUAUAAUGUUCGUCAAAAGAAGGAAAUCCUGGCUGUGCCUAUAAUCACAGCAUUCUGGGAGGCCAAGGCAGGAGGAUCACUUGAGCCC
This 5183-nucleotide long non-coding RNA is filed under the name Homo sapiens (human). RNAcentral's name for it is "HSALNT0299291". Lineage: Eukaryota; Metazoa; Chordata; Mammalia; Primates; Hominidae. The record is from RNAcentral.